CCACCAUAGACUUGCUGCUGGACCAUGGCUGACUGACUUCCCCUGUCACAUGUUUAGGUUUCCCACCUUGUUUCAUGGGCUCAUGAUUCUAGUAUCUGCUUGCCCUUAGGUGUUUGUGAGGGUUAGAGGUGAGGGCUACACGAUGGGGGGUGACUUCUUCUAGGGCCUCAGUGGCAGGGCCCAGAAACACUGCCUGUGUGAGCCUGCUUGGUAACAUCUGUCCCCCCACCUCUGCCAGAAGAAGACACCUUUACUCAUUUGGCCCAUCUCCUUUACCAAUGCCACUCCUACUCCACCAGCCAGAGGAGAAAAGUUGAACUCUGAGGACCAGAAUGGCCUUUCCCUGGCCACGGAGUGCUCAGCCCCUGCAGGUAGGGGUGGGGAGCCCAAGCCUGAAGCUCCUGUCUAGGUCCUGCUCCUGCUCCUGGGCCCUUCAUCAUCAGCUGGGAGGCCUCCUGACAGUUCUGAGGUAUCUCAGGACUGCCAGCUUUGUGUUCCUGAGCAGAGACACCCAACACCUCAGCCUGGCUCCUUCCUGCAGGCCAACGUCCCACACCCUCUGGUACCUGGCAAAAGAGUCUUUCUGAUAGAAACAGGAGCAGCAUCUUGGGUUCAUGUCCUACUUCAUUAGUCCUUUAUUCUUCAAUCAAUAAACAUUUAAGGACCUCUGUCUCAGUCUGUUUGAAC
This 687-nucleotide long non-coding RNA is filed under the name Ictidomys tridecemlineatus (thirteen-lined ground squirrel). RNAcentral's name for it is "lncRNA (ENSSTOG00000033961.1)". The record is from RNAcentral. Lineage: Eukaryota; Metazoa; Chordata; Mammalia; Rodentia; Sciuridae.